Molecule: non-coding RNA, 113 nt
Organism: Acanthosepion pharaonis
Lineage: Eukaryota; Metazoa; Mollusca; Cephalopoda; Sepiida; Sepiidae
Source: the annotation of a GenBank genome assembly
UAUGGCCACAUCGUGUUGGAACACCGGUUCCCGUACAAUUACCAAAGUUAAGUAAUAUUGGGCGUGGUCAGUACUAGGAUUGGUACCCACUUAGGAAUACCAGGUGCUGUAAG